GACGAACGCUGGCGGCGUGCUUAACACAUGCAAGUCGAACGGAAAGGCCCUGCUUUUGUGGGGUGCUCGAGUGGCGAACGGGUGAGUAACACGUGAGUAACCUGCCCUUGACUUUGGGAUAACUUCAGGAAACUGGGGCUAAUACCGGAUAGGAGCUCCUGCUGCAUGGUGGGGGUUGGAAAGUUUCGGCGGUUGGGGAUGGACUCGCGGCUUAUCAGCUUGUUGGUGGGGUAGUGGCUUACCAAGGCUUUGACGGGUAGCCGGCCUGAGAGGGUGACCGGCGACAUUGGGACUGAGAUACGGCCCAGACUCCUACGGGAGGCAGCAGUGGGGAAUAUUGCACAAUGGGCGGAAGCCUGAUGCAGCAACGCCGCGUGCGGGAUGACGGCCUUCGGGUUGUAAACCGCUUUCGCCUGUGACGAGGCGUGAGUGACGGUAAUGGGUAAAGAAGCACCGGCUAACUACGUG
RNAcentral lists this ribosomal RNA (468 nucleotides) under uncultured bacterium. RNAcentral describes it as "partial 16S ribosomal RNA". It matches the Rfam family "Bacterial small subunit ribosomal RNA", at positions 28 to 507 of the family's 1533-position model. The record is from RNAcentral.